AACACAGACGUCCCGGCUGCUUUUAGCAUCUCAGAAGCCCAAACCGGCUGUGACCAAUAUGGAGGCGACCUAACCUCCAAGCUGAGCUUUCUUUGUCUCCAGCAGGGCAGGCGCUGAGGACUUACACAAAAUAAACAUGCAUCAGGAUCCUCAAAGACAAGAAAAGAUUGAGAAAACGUGGAAGGUGGCAAAGGCUAAGGAGAAAUAACAACUGAAUGUAAAGCAGAUCCUGGAUCAGAAAAAAAGACAUUAGUGGGAAAAUGGCAGAAUUUCCAUUAAGAUCUGCAGCUCAGUUUAUAAUGUUGUACCACCGUGAAGUUUCUGUUCUCAAAAUAUCUACAAUUAGUUAUGUGGUUCCCUUUAGAGCAAGAGGGCUUGUGAGAUGUUAUGAAGACUGUACAUGGCCUAUUGUUGUACCUCUUCUAUAAUAUGAAAGUGAGUUGACAACUCCUUCAGGGACAAUCACAUUCACACAUUCAAUGAAGACUUGAGACAAGGAUCCUACCGCACAUCCUAGGCUCCCCUUGCCACCUCUUCAGACUGGAUCUGCAAAAUGAGGACUGAGCAGAUCACCUCCACAUUUCUUCCACGCUACAAUUCUAUGAAUUGGAAAUGAGGAGACUUCAGUAGGAUCCAUACCAUAGAGUUGUGAGGGGUGAAUGAGAGAAGCCAUGUAAAGCAUGAAGCCCAGGAAUAGGAACAAAAUGGAACCUUCCCAGAACAUGGGUGAGACCCCUGCAGACAUGCUGGAUACCCUCCCGGGGUAGAGCCCUCAGCCCCACUGAAGGGUACUGGAAGGAGGAAGUAUAGGAUACCCGGCAGGGAAUCAAGUGGUUCCUGCAGGAUCAGUGCCUCCACAAUGACCAAGGUUUAGACCAAGACUUCAGGGUGCUAAAGGUGGUGAAGUAUCAAAAGGAAAACACGGAAAUGGACUUCCACUCCAACCAUGAUGGAGUCACAAGGACCAGAUUUACCUUUGCUGCUUCAUUCAACAAAUGAAAAACAGGAAAAAAUAAGUAAAAAAACAUUUGAAAACAGGCAAAGCAGGGGAAAAAUCCCUGAGAGAAGGAGAAAAGGAGGGAAGUCCUGCGACUGUCCUAGUGUACUUCCUGUAGAGACUUUUGCAAGCCACAGCAGAGGAAAGGGUAAAGUAAACAGUCUUCCUGAACUGAAAAGAUAAGAGUUGAGAAUUCAGGAAGGCCGAAGUGGCUAGAAUUCCAAGAAAUUAUACAGCCGAUAGAAUUCAUGGAAAAGGUUGUCAAAUAGGCUACUCUAAAUAAAACGUCACGUAUUCAAGAAGACAGAAGGUGCUGUCAAAUGUGCAAGGAAGCCUCCUGAAAGGAAGGAGGGGCAUGGGAGGGUGCCAGUGAAGCUCUCAGAAUGAUGAAUGCCACUGGAUAGCCCAGCCGCCUGUGAGUGCUAUCAGAACUCACAAGAGAUUGUGUAUCCCACAUGUAUCCUGCUGGCUAUGGUUCAUCAUCCGAGUAAGAAUUGAAAAGUGUUUCAGAACCAGGAAGAAAAGCCCCACUUUCAUGCAGUGUCUCUCCACUCCCAUCUAGUAAAAAGCUUAACACUAGCCCAGCUGUCAGUAGGGAAUGUUUACAUGGCUCAGCUCCAAUACUGCAAAGCAAGUCAAGGAAGGAUAGAUUUGCUAGGAAAUAAAUUGAUAAAGCACAAGAGUAUCCAAAACAUUAUAUCUUUUGAUUUCCACCUCUGACAAAGAAGAUUCAACCUGAAGGUUCACCAAAGAGAAACAGAGAUCUCUAUCAGCAUCAAUAAAAGGACAAUGAAAAUACAGCUCGUGAAUAGAAGCCCAACUCUCUUCAGAUUUUACCAGUAAGAUGUCACAUUUCCAUUCCUGUUUUUCCACAUUUAAUUUCUAGACUUAGAAAUAUCAUAAUUUGGAAAUUACAGUAAAGAAUAUAUGCUGGUCUUAAC
Long non-coding RNA from Herpailurus yagouaroundi (jaguarundi), 1938 nucleotides. RefSeq lists it as uncharacterized. The transcript has 7 exons. The record is from RefSeq and is a predicted model, not a curated record. NCBI's taxonomy places the organism in Eukaryota, Metazoa, Chordata, Mammalia, Carnivora, Felidae.